Non-coding RNA from Schistosoma mattheei, 45 nucleotides. NCBI's taxonomy places the organism in Eukaryota, Metazoa, Platyhelminthes, Trematoda, Strigeidida, Schistosomatidae. The record is from Rfam.
AUCCAGCUGACGAUUCCCAAAUAGGACGAAACGCGCGUCCUGGAU